RNAcentral lists this ribosomal RNA (252 nucleotides) under uncultured bacterium. Its description in RNAcentral is "partial 16S ribosomal RNA". It matches the Rfam family "Bacterial small subunit ribosomal RNA", at positions 524 to 771 of the family's 1533-position model. The record is from RNAcentral.
UACGUAGGGUGCAAGCGUUGUCCGGAAUUAUUGGGCGUAAAGAGCUCGUAGGCGGCUCGUCGCGUCUGCUGUGAAAGCCCCGGGGCUUAACCCCGGGUCUGCAGGUGGGUACGGGCGGGCUAGAGUGCGGGUAGGGGGAGACUGGAAUUCCUGGUGUAGCGGUGAAAUGCGCAGAUAUCAGGAGGAACACCGGUGGCGAAGGCGGGUCUCUGGGCCGAUAUUGACGCUGAGGAGCGAAAGCGUGGGGAGCGA